Molecule: ribosomal RNA, 542 nt
Filed under: uncultured bacterium
Lineage: Bacteria
Description: bacterial SSU rRNA
Rfam family: Bacterial small subunit ribosomal RNA
Source: RNAcentral
UAAACGAUGUCGAUUUGGAGGUUGUGGCUCCGGAGCUAACGCGUUAAAUCGACCGCUGGGGAGUACGGCCGCAAGGUUAAAACUCAAAUGAAUUGACGGGGGCCCGCACAAGCGGUGGAGCAUGUGGUUUAAUUCGAUGCAACGCGAAGAACCUUACCUGGUCUUGACAUCCAGGUGCUGCAUGGCUGUCGUCAGCUCGUGCUGUGAAAUGUUGGGUUAAGUCCCGCAACGAGCGCAACCCUUAUCCUUUGUUGCAACUCAAAGGAGACUGCCAGUGAUAAACUGGAGGAAGGUGGGGAUGACGUCAAGUCAUCAUGGCCCUUACGACCAGGGCUACACACGUGCUACAAUGGCGCAUACAAAGAGAAGCGACCUCGCGAGAGCAAGCGGACCUCAUAAAGUGCGUCGUAGUCCGGAUUGGAGUCUGCAACUCGACUCCAUGAAGUCGGAAUCGCUAGUAAUCGUGGAUCAGAUGCCACGGUGAAUACGUUCCCGGGCCUUGUACACACCGCCCGUCACACCAUGGGAGUGGGUUGCAAAAG